RNAcentral lists this non-coding RNA (45 nucleotides) under Schistosoma mattheei. The record is from RNAcentral. Lineage: Eukaryota; Metazoa; Platyhelminthes; Trematoda; Strigeidida; Schistosomatidae.
AUACAGCUGAUGAGUCCGAAAUAGGACGAAACGCGCGUCUUGGGU